GGUCAAGCUACAAAGGGCUCACGGCGGAUACCUUGGCACACAGAGGCGAUGAAGGACGUGGUUACCUGCGAUAAGUCUCGGGGAGCUGGAAGC
RNAcentral lists this ribosomal RNA (93 nucleotides) under uncultured Synechococcus sp. RNAcentral describes it as "partial 23S ribosomal RNA". It matches the Rfam family "Bacterial large subunit ribosomal RNA", at positions 1 to 93 of the family's 2925-position model. Lineage: Bacteria; Bacillati; Cyanobacteriota; Cyanophyceae; Synechococcales; Synechococcaceae. The record is from RNAcentral.